Molecule: long non-coding RNA, 363 nt
Organism: Neodiprion virginianus
Lineage: Eukaryota; Metazoa; Arthropoda; Insecta; Hymenoptera; Diprionidae
Exons: 3
Source: RefSeq, a predicted model, not a curated record
GUUGUAGGUGCCGCGUGGUUGCCGACUGCAACGCCUGCGUACGCACGCACCGCGAAGGCUCUCGACACCGUCGGCGCAACAAGUAGCAGAUUAUAAAAAUCACCCCGAGGGCUGCUGCUGUUGCUGCCGCCGGCGGUGGCACGAGAGAGGGAAAAAAAUCCACGGGUGGAAUGAGGGGGAUGCUGCUGCGCGGGUGGAAACGAGACGAAGGGAUCGCCGAGAGGAGGGUGGAAGAGGAACGGAAUUACUGAUGUUGUCCCUUUCUUUCGCCAUAUUAGGAAUCGCAUGUGGAACAAAUCAACUUCCGGUUGGUGGCCGUAAAUUGAAUCGAUAAUCAUGGUAAUGAUUCGGAUAUUGCACAGU